AGCGAACGCUGGCGGCAGGCUUAACACAUGCAAGUCGAGCGGGCACUUCGGUGUCAGCGGCAGACGGGUGAGUAACACGUGGGAACGUACCCUUCGGUUCGGAAUAACGCUGGGAAGCUAGCGCUAAUACCGGAUACGCCCUUUUGGGGAAAGGUUUACUGCCGAAGGAUCGGCCCGCGUCUGAUUAGCUAGUUGGUGGGGUAAUGGCCUACCAAGGCGACGAUCAGUAGCUGGUCUGAGAGGAUGAUCAGCCACACUGGGACUGAGACACGGCCCAGACUCCUACGGGAGGCAGCAGUGGGGAAUAUUGGACAAUGGGCGCAAGCCUGAUCCAGCCAUGCCGCGUGAGUGAUGAAGGCCUUAGGGUUGUAAAGCUCUUUUGUCCGGGACGAUAAUGACGGUACCGGAAGAAUAAGCCCCGGCUAACUUCGUG
RNAcentral lists this ribosomal RNA (433 nucleotides) under uncultured bacterium. Its description in RNAcentral is "partial 16S ribosomal RNA". It matches the Rfam family "Bacterial small subunit ribosomal RNA", at positions 29 to 507 of the family's 1533-position model. The record is from RNAcentral.